This 620-nucleotide ribosomal RNA is filed under the name uncultured Acidobacteriota bacterium. RNAcentral's name for it is "bacterial SSU rRNA". It matches the Rfam family "Bacterial small subunit ribosomal RNA", at positions 438 to 1046 of the family's 1533-position model. Lineage: Bacteria; Pseudomonadati; Acidobacteriota. The record is from RNAcentral.
GAACGGGAAGAAUAAGUAAGGGUUAAUAUCUCUUACGAUGACGGUACUGUUUGUAAGCUCCGGCUAACUCCGUGCCAGCAGCCGCGGUAAUACGGGGGGAGCAAGCGUUGUUCGGAUUUACUGGGCGUAAAGGGCGCGUAGGCGGCCACCGCAAGUCGACUGUGAAAUCUCCGGGCUUAACCCGGAACGGUCAGCCGAUACUGCAGGGCUAGAGUGCAGAAGGGGCAACUGGAAUUCUCGGUGUAGCGGUGAAAUGCGUAGAUAUCGAGAGGAACACCUGCGGCGAAGGCGGGUUGCUGGGCUGACACUGACGCUGAGGCGCGAAAGCUAGGGGAGCGAACGGGAUUAGAUACCCCGGUAGUCCUAGCCUUAAACGAUGAAUGCUUGGUGUCUGGGGUUUUAUAGUCCCCGGGUGCCGUCGCUAACGCUUUAAGCAUUCCGCCUGGGGAGUACGGUCGCAAGACUGAAACUCAAAGGAAUUGACGGGGACCCGCACAAGCGGUGGAGCAUGUGGUUUAAUUCGACGCAACGCGAAGAACCUUACCUGGGCUAGAAUGCCUCUGACCGGCGUAGAGAUACGCUUUCCUGGGUAAAACCAGGCAGAGUGCAAGGUGCUGCAU